UACAGAGACUGCAAGCGUUAUUCGGAUUCACUGGGCGUAAAGGGUGCGCAGGCGGCCGAGUGUGUGAGGCGUGAAAGCCCCGGGCUCAACCUGGGAAUUGCAUUCGAGACUGCGUGGCUAGGGUGCGGAAGAGGGAAGCGGAAUUUCCGGUGUAGCGGUGAAAUGCGUAGAUAUCGGAAGGAACACCAGUGGCGAAAGCGGCUUCCUGGUCCAGCACCGACGUUCAGGCACGAAAGCGUGGGGAGCAAACAGG
RNAcentral lists this ribosomal RNA (253 nucleotides) under uncultured bacterium. RNAcentral's name for it is "partial 16S ribosomal RNA". It matches the Rfam family "Bacterial small subunit ribosomal RNA", at positions 524 to 776 of the family's 1533-position model. The record is from RNAcentral.